RNAcentral lists this transfer RNA (65 nucleotides) under Hyphomonas sp. L-53-1-40. It matches the Rfam family "tRNA". Rfam says of the family: Transfer RNA (tRNA) molecules are approximately 80 nucleotides in length. Their secondary structure includes four short double-helical elements and three loops (D, anti-codon, and T loops). Lineage: Bacteria; Pseudomonadati; Pseudomonadota; Alphaproteobacteria; Hyphomonadales; Hyphomonadaceae. The record is from Rfam by way of RNAcentral.
GCGGACUCAGUGGUAGAGCACUACGUUGACAUCGUAGGGGUCACAAGUUCGAACCUUGUACCGCC